AUACGGAGGAUCCGAGCGUUAUCCGGAUUUAUUGGGUUUAAAGGGUGCGCAGGCGGCCAUUUAAGUCAGCGGUUAAAUCGUGGGGCUCAACCCCAUUCUGCCGUUGAUACUGGGUGGCUUGAUUGCGGUCGAGGUUGGCGGAAUUCGUUGUGUAGCGGUGAAAUGCAUAGAUAUGACGAAGAACACCGAUUGCGUAGGCAGCUGACCAGAUCGCAAAUGACGCUCAUGCACGAAAGUGCGGGGAUCGAACAGGAUUAGAUACCCUGGUAGUCCGCACAGUAAACGAUGAAUACUUGUUUUCGGCGAUAUAAUGUCGGAGGCAUAGCGAAAGCGAUAAGUAUUCCACCUGGGGAGUACGCCGGCAACGGUGAAACUCAAAGGAAUUGACGGGG
This 392-nucleotide ribosomal RNA is filed under the name uncultured bacterium. RNAcentral describes it as "partial 16S ribosomal RNA". It matches the Rfam family "Bacterial small subunit ribosomal RNA", at positions 523 to 918 of the family's 1533-position model. The record is from RNAcentral.